RNAcentral lists this ribosomal RNA (419 nucleotides) under uncultured Carnobacterium sp. Its description in RNAcentral is "bacterial SSU rRNA". It matches the Rfam family "Bacterial small subunit ribosomal RNA", at positions 970 to 1390 of the family's 1533-position model. Lineage: Bacteria; Bacillati; Bacillota; Bacilli; Lactobacillales; Carnobacteriaceae. The record is from RNAcentral.
CUUACCAGGUCUUGACAUCCUUUGACCACUCGAGAGAUCGAGCUUUCCCUUCGGGGACAAAGUGACAGGUGGUGCAUGGUUGUCGUCAGCUCGUGUCGUGAGAUGUUGGGUUAAGUCCCGCAACGAGCGCAACCCUUAUUACUAGUUGCCAGCAUUCAGUUGGGCACUCUAGUGAGACUGCCGGUGACAAACCGGAGGAAGGUGGGGAUGACGUCAAAUCAUCAUGCCCCUUAUGACCUGGGCUACACACGUGCUACAAUGGAUGGUACAACGAGUCGCGAAGUCGUGAGGCCAAGCUAAUCUCUUAAAGCCAUUCUCAGUUCGGAUUGUAGGCUGCAACUCGCCUACAUGAAGCCGGAAUCGCUAGUAAUCGCGGAUCAGAACGCCGCGGUGAAUACGUUCCCGGGUCUUGUACACAC